UUGAAUUUUCAUUUAAAGCUUUCAGAUCUGGAACCAGAUUUCACACUAAGCCUGGAUUAUCUAAACCUAGCUUUGAACAACUCAACCCGAAAAAGGAUUUGGAAACCCCCCCUUACAGAAAUUCUUUGCAAUAAGGGAGCAUGAUCAGUUCAGUAUACAAAAGUGUAAGUAAGUGAGAGUAGAACAUGACCUGUCUGUGGAAAUUUGACUGAAGCAGUUAUACAAAAUGGGCAACGUUGGUUGAGCAAGGACAACUACUGUGGAACUGAAUGGCCAGAUUAAGAGAUGAUCAUAUUGUUCAAGAUACGGGCCAGACAAAAAUCACUCCAAAUUAAAACAAUCCAACCAGUCAAUAAAAUAAAUCUGAGUAGUUUAAGAUUGAUCACUAAUUGUGUUAUUGUACUAGUUUGAUGUUUCUUUCCAGUUUGUAUCUCCCUUACAAUGCCAUUUCGUAAAAUGAUUACUCUCUGAUAGACCUGUGUGGCAAGUGGUCGCUUAUUUCAGCAUAACAAGUUCCUUUUCCUUCAAAAUAUGUCAGGCUUUUGUUUGGUUGCAACUUACCUUUGACGUUGGAAGAGAAUGUAUAAUGAUAUUUAUGAAGACAUUUGAAAUGGCAAAAGCCACUUGCAAAAAACUCAGUGGGGAUUUAAUAUUGGAAAACUACUUCUGUAACAGCAAAAAAUAUCUUUCAUUUUCCAAAGAGCCCUAAGAACUGAUUGGCUUAGAGUGUAAGGGACAUCUGCAGUUUAUAUAAUAGAGGGUGUGUGUAUGUACAUACCAGUUUCCAAGGAGUCUGCAAAUAGACAGUCAUUGAUCUGAUUCAGGGAGUAAAUCUCUUCAGAAUUUGUUGUUACAUCCAUGUGGAAACUUUCAUCAUUGUCAGGACUGCUGUUGCCCUUGUUCAUAUUUUCUUCUUUUUUGUGUUGCACCUUACUGUCCCAUUCUUUAGUCCAUCUGCCUUGCUCUCAUUACCUAAGUGGUUAAGAAAAAGAAAUGUGUAGAGUUUUGCUAAUUUGUGUGAAACCAGGAAUGAAUAAUUGGAGCCAUCAUCAUAAUCAUUGUCGUCAUCAUUUGAAGUAUUAUUAAAAAAAUAAUUUUUAGAUUG
Molecule: non-coding RNA, 1105 nt
Organism: Pocillopora verrucosa
Lineage: Eukaryota; Metazoa; Cnidaria; Anthozoa; Scleractinia; Pocilloporidae
Source: RefSeq, a predicted model, not a curated record